GGGCCGCUAGCUCAAUUGGCUAGAGCAACUCCCUCUUAAGGAGUAGGUUCUCGGUUCGAUCCCGAGGCGGCUCACUA
Molecule: transfer RNA, 77 nt
Filed under: Candidatus Gottesmanbacteria bacterium RIFCSPLOWO2_01_FULL_42_22
Lineage: Bacteria; Candidatus Gottesmaniibacteriota
Description: tRNA-Lys
Rfam family: tRNA
About the family: Transfer RNA (tRNA) molecules are approximately 80 nucleotides in length. Their secondary structure includes four short double-helical elements and three loops (D, anti-codon, and T loops). Further hydrogen bonds mediate the characteristic L-shaped molecular structure. tRNAs have two regions of fundamental functional importance: the anti-codon, which is responsible for specific mRNA codon recognition, and the 3' end, to which the tRNAs corresponding amino acid is attached (by aminoacyl-tRNA synthetases). tRNAs cope with the degeneracy of the genetic code in two manners: having more than one tRNA (with a specific anti-codon) for a particular amino acid; and 'wobble' base-pairing, i.e. permitting non-standard base-pairing at the 3rd anti-codon position.
Source: RNAcentral